This is a long non-coding RNA of Polistes canadensis, 475 nucleotides long. RefSeq lists it as uncharacterized. Lineage: Eukaryota; Metazoa; Arthropoda; Insecta; Hymenoptera; Vespidae. The transcript has 3 exons. The record is from RefSeq and is a predicted model, not a curated record.
AAUGUAUUCGUUUUAAUGUUAAUAUCUUCUUCGAGUUGAAUUUGUGUUUUUAAUAAAUAACGCAGUGAUGCUUGAGCCUUUUUAGCCGUUUCAGCAGUUAACUCGCAAACUCUUUUUGACUCUGAUAAAAGACUAUCAGCUAAUUCUUGUUGAGCUACCGAGCAUUGAUAUCUGAUUUUGAGAAGAGAAAAAUGUUCAUUGUAAAAAGGAAAAAAUAACCUUGAACAAAAAAAUUAUUCUGCAUUUAAAUACCUGAAAGUAUUAUUGAGAUGCCAUUCAUUCAACGUAAAUCUUGGAGGUGGUGGUGGGACCACAAUUAAAGCAUGAUCAGUAUAAGAUUUCAUUUUUGCGAUAGUAUUUUAGAUUCUAAUCGUACAAAGGAUGGGUGGUUUCCAAGGAAACUCGUUUACAGAUCCGUAGCUAUACAACAUUUUUAAUACAAAUCUUCUAAUUAUACUGAUACGUAUAUUAUGAA